Molecule: small nuclear RNA, 113 nt
Organism: Oryctolagus cuniculus (rabbit)
Lineage: Eukaryota; Metazoa; Chordata; Mammalia; Lagomorpha; Leporidae
Gene: U2
Rfam family: U2 spliceosomal RNA
About the family: U2 is a small nuclear RNA (snRNA) component of the spliceosome (involved in pre-mRNA splicing).
Source: Ensembl
AUUGCUUCUCAGCCCUUUGGCUAAGAUCAAGUGUAGUAUCUGCUCUUAUCAGUUUAACAUGCAAUAAAUGUAUACGUUUAUGUACAAUAUAUACAAAGUGGUUGUAAAUUGUU